Molecule: non-coding RNA, 134 nt
Filed under: Paenibacillus sp.
Lineage: Bacteria; Bacillati; Bacillota; Bacilli; Caryophanales; Paenibacillaceae
Also listed under: 1 other name
Description: SAM-I sequence
Rfam family: SAM riboswitch aptamer (S box leader)
About the family: The SAM riboswitch is found upstream of a number of genes which code for proteins involved in methionine or cysteine biosynthesis in Gram-positive bacteria. The SAM riboswitch acts at the level of transcription termination control. The predicted structure consists of a complex stem-loop region followed by a single stem loop terminator region.
Source: RNAcentral
AUCUUAUCAAGAGCAGGUGGAGGGACUAGCCCGAUGAAACCCGGCAACCGGCGUGUGAACGCACGGUGCUAAUUCUUGCGGAAGCUUUGCAGGGGAUAUUUGAAUCCCGGCAGAAGUUCUCUGGCAGAUGAGAG